Molecule: ribosomal RNA, 2902 nt
Filed under: Escherichia coli
Lineage: Bacteria; Pseudomonadati; Pseudomonadota; Gammaproteobacteria; Enterobacterales; Enterobacteriaceae
Description: bacterial LSU rRNA
Rfam family: Bacterial large subunit ribosomal RNA
Source: RNAcentral
UUAAGCGACUAAGCGUACACGGUGGAUGCCCUGGCAGUCAGAGGCGAUGAAGGACGUGCUAAUCUGCGAUAAGCGUCGGUAAGGUGAUAUGAACCGUUAUAACCGGCGAUUUCCGAAUGGGGAAACCCAGUGUGUUUCGACACACUAUCAUUAACUGAAUCCAUAGGUUAAUGAGGCGAACCGGGGGAACUGAAACAUCUAAGUACCCCGAGGAAAAGAAAUCAACCGAGAUUCCCCCAGUAGCGGCGAGCGAACGGGGAGCAGCCCAGAGCCUGAAUCAGUGUGUGUGUUAGUGGAAGCGUCUGGAAAGGCGCGCGAUACAGGGUGACAGCCCCGUACACAAAAAUGCACAUGCUGUGAGCUCGAUGAGUAGGGCGGGACACGUGGUAUCCUGUCUGAAUAUGGGGGACCAUCCUCCAAGGCUAAAUACUCCUGACUGACCGAUAGUGAACCAGUACCGUGAGGGAAAGGCGAAAAGAACCCCGCGAGGGGAGUGAAAAAGAACCUGAAACCGUGUACGUACAAGCAGUGGGAGCACGCUUCGGCGUGUGACUGCGUACCUUUUGUAUAAUGGGUCAGCGACUUAUAUUCUGUAGCAAGGUUAACCGAAUAGGGGAGCCGAAGGGAAACCGAGUCUUAACUGGGCGUUAAGUUGCAGGGUAUAGACCCGAAACCCGGUGAUCUAGCCAUGGGCAGGUUGAAGGUUGGGUAACACUAACUGGAGGACCGAACCGACUAAUGUUGAAAAAUUAGCGGAUGACUUGUGGCUGGGGGUGAAAGGCCAAUCAAACCGGGAGAUAGCUGGUUCUCCCCGAAAGCUAUUUAGGUAGCGCCUCGUGAAUUCAUCUCCGGGGGUAGAGCACUGUUUCGGCAAGGGGGUCAUCCCGACUUACCAACCCGAUGCAAACUGCGAAUACCGGAGAAUGUUAUCACGGGAGACACACGGCGGGUGCUAACGUCCGUCGUGAAGAGGGAAACAACCCAGACCGCCAGCUAAGGUCCCAAAGUCAUGGUUAAGUGGGAAACGAUGUGGGAAGGCCCAGACAGCCAGGAUGUUGGCUUAGAAGCAGCCAUCAUUUAAAGAAAGCGUAAUAGCUCACUGGUCGAGUCGGCCUGCGCGGAAGAUGUAACGGGGCUAAACCAUGCACCGAAGCUGCGGCAGCGACGCUUAUGCGUUGUUGGGUAGGGGAGCGUUCUGUAAGCCUGUGAAGGUGUACUGUGAGGUAUGCUGGAGGUAUCAGAAGUGCGAAUGCUGACAUAAGUAACGAUAAAGCGGGUGAAAAGCCCGCUCGCCGGAAGACCAAGGGUUCCUGUCCAACGUUAAUCGGGGCAGGGUGAGUCGACCCCUAAGGCGAGGCCGAAAGGCGUAGUCGAUGGGAAACAGGUUAAUAUUCCUGUACUUGGUGUUACUGCGAAGGGGGGACGGAGAAGGCUAUGUUGGCCGGGCGACGGUUGUCCCGGUUUAAGCGUGUAGGCUGGUUUUCCAGGCAAAUCCGGAAAAAUCAAGGCUGAGGCGUGAUGACGAGGCACUACGGUGCUGAAGCAACAAAUGCCCUGCUUCCAGGAAAAGCCUCUAAGCAUCAGGUAACAUCAAAUCGUACCCCAAACCGACACAGGUGGUCAGGUAGAGAAUACCAAGGCGCUUGAGAGAACUCGGGUGAAGGAACUAGGCAAAAUGGUGCCGUAACUUCGGGAGAAGGCACGCUGAUAUGUAGGUGAAGUCCCUCGCGGAUGGAGCUGAAAUCAGUCGAAGAUACCAGCUGGCUGCAACUGUUUAUUAAAAACACAGCACUGUGCAAACACGAAAGUGGACGUAUACGGUGUGACGCCUGCCCGGUGCCGGAAGGUUAAUUGAUGGGGUCAGCGCAAGCGAAGCUCUUGAUCGAAGCCCCGGUAAACGGCGGCCGUAACUAUAACGGUCCUAAGGUAGCGAAAUUCCUUGUCGGGUAAGUUCCGACCUGCACGAAUGGCGUAAUGAUGGCCAGGCUGUCUCCACCCGAGACUCAGUGAAAUUGAACUCGCUGUGAAGAUGCAGUGUACCCGCGGCAAGACGGAAAGACCCCGUGAACCUUUACUAUAGCUUGACACUGAACAUUGAGCCUUGAUGUGUAGGAUAGGUGGGAGGCUUUGAAGUGUGGACGCCAGUCUGCAUGGAGCCGACCUUGAAAUACCACCCUUUAAUGUUUGAUGUUCUAACGUGGACCCGUGAAUCCGGGUUGCGGACAGUGUCUGGUGGGUAGUUUGACUGGGGCGGUCUCCUCCUAAAGAGUAACGGAGGAGCACGAAGGUUGGCUAAUCCUGGUCGGACAUCAGGAGGUUAGUGCAAUGGCAUAAGCCAGCUUGACUGCGAGCGUGACGGCGCGAGCAGGUGCGAAAGCAGGUCAUAGUGAUCCGGUGGUUCUGAAUGGAAGGGCCAUCGCUCAACGGAUAAAAGGUACUCCGGGGAUAACAGGCUGAUACCGCCCAAGAGUUCAUAUCGACGGCGGUGUUUGGCACCUCGAUGUCGGCUCAUCACAUCCUGGGGCUGAAGUAGGUCCCAAGGGUAUGGCUGUUCGCCAUUUAAAGUGGUACGCGAGCUGGGUUUAGAACGUCGUGAGACAGUUCGGUCCCUAUCUGCCGUGGGCGCUGGAGAACUGAGGGGGGCUGCUCCUAGUACGAGAGGACCGGAGUGGACGCAUCACUGGUGUUCGGGUUGUCAUGCCAAUGGCACUGCCCGGUAGCUAAAUGCGGAAGAGAUAAGUGCUGAAAGCAUCUAAGCACGAAACUUGCCCCGAGAUGAGUUCUCCCUGACUCCUUGAGAGUCCUGAAGGAACGUUGAAGACGACGACGUUGAUAGGCCGGGUGUGUAAGCGCAGCGAUGCGUUGAGCUAACCGGUACUAAUGAACCGUGAGGCUUAACCUU